GACGAACGCUGGCGGCGUGCUUAACACAUGCAAGUCGAACGCUGAAGCUCAGCUUUUGUUGGGUGGAUGAGUGGCGAACGGGUGAGUAACACGUGAGUAACCUGCCCCCUUCUUUGGGAUAACGCCCGGAAACGGGUGCUAAUACUGGAUAUUCACUGGUCUUCGCAUGGGGGUUGGUGGAAAGGGUUUUUCUGGUGGGGGAUGGGCUCGCGGCCUAUCAGCUUGUUGGUGGGGUGAUGGCCUACCAAGGCUUUGACGGGUAGCCGGCCUGAGAGGGUGACCGGUCACAUUGGGACUGAGAUACGGCCCAGACUGCUACGGGAGGCAGCAGUGGGGAAUAAUGCACAAUGGGCGCAAGCCUGAUGCAGCGACGCCGCGUGAGGGAUGGAGGCCUUCGGGUUGUGAACCUCUUUCGCUCAUGGUCAAGCCGCAACAAUGGUUGUGGUGAGGGUAGUGGGUAAAGAAGCGCCGGCUAACUACGUG
This 483-nucleotide ribosomal RNA is filed under the name uncultured bacterium. Its description in RNAcentral is "partial 16S ribosomal RNA". It matches the Rfam family "Bacterial small subunit ribosomal RNA", at positions 28 to 507 of the family's 1533-position model. The record is from RNAcentral.